AUACGGAGGAUCCGAGCGUUAUCCGGAUUUAUUGGGUUUAAAGGGUGCGCAGGCGGCCAUUUAAGUCAGCGGUUAAAUCGUGGGGCUCAACCCCAUUCUGCCGUUGAUACUGGGUGGCUUGAUUGCGGUCGAGGUUGGCGGAAUUCGUUGUGUAGCGGUGAAAUGCAUAGAUAUGACGAAGAACACCGAUUGCGUAGGCAGCUGACCAGAACGCAAAUGACGCUCAUGCACGAAAGUGCGGGGAUCGAACAGGAUUAGAUACCCUGGUAGUCCGCACAGUAAACGAUGAAUACUUGUUUUCGGCGAUAUAAUGUCGGAGGCAAAGCGAAAGCGAUAAGUAUUCCACCUGGGGAGUACGCCGGCAACGGUGAAACUUAAAGGAAUUGACGGGG
Molecule: ribosomal RNA, 392 nt
Filed under: uncultured bacterium
Lineage: Bacteria
Description: partial 16S ribosomal RNA
Rfam family: Bacterial small subunit ribosomal RNA
Source: RNAcentral